CAGCCGCUGCAAAACCAAAGCCGUUAGAUCCUCCAAGUACUAUAGCGUUUUUACACAUAGGCUCGAGAAUUGGUUUAGACAACUCGGCACUAAAAUUGAAAUUUAAAAAAAAAAAAAUGAUACGAAAGCUACUGAAAUGACAGAACAGAACAAAACCUUUGUGAUUAAAUGGAAAACUAACGUAGAAUUAAAUACGUCUCUUCGGAAAAUAAAAAAAGACGCAACGAAAGUAUCAUAUUACCUUGGAUUCUUAUCGAGGAGUUUGAAGGAAAGUAAGGUUAAAUACCGUGAUAGCAUGUUGCUUGAAAAUAUAAUCUUUCCUUGUGAUUAAUAUUAUAAAUUUUUGAAUAUAAAGUAAUAAAGUAUGUACACAAGAAAGAAAAAAAGUAAUAAUAAACGGAAAUGAACGGCAAAUGCAACAUUAAAUGAAUAAACAGGGAAUUUAGAAAUAAUUUUGACCGAAAGUUGGAUAGUUACAUUUUGCAUUUGUCAACGUCACGUGUUGACAUUCGUUUUUCUAUCAAUUCAUAAAGAAUAUAUUCGCUUGUUCAUAAUAUCACAUUGGUUGAAUUACAUUGCCAUAACGAUAUGCUAAUAAUUAAUAAAAUAUGUAAAAUAAUAAUUAAAAUCAAUAUU
Apis florea (little honeybee) is the source of this 636-nucleotide long non-coding RNA. Lineage: Eukaryota; Metazoa; Arthropoda; Insecta; Hymenoptera; Apidae. The record is from RefSeq and is a predicted model, not a curated record.